RNAcentral lists this ribosomal RNA (255 nucleotides) under uncultured bacterium. Its description in RNAcentral is "partial 16S ribosomal RNA". It matches the Rfam family "Bacterial small subunit ribosomal RNA", at positions 524 to 777 of the family's 1533-position model. The record is from RNAcentral.
UACGAAGGGGGGCUAGCGUUGCUCGGAAUCACUGGGCGUAAAGCGCACGUAGGCGGCUUUCUAAGUCAGGGGUGAAAUCCUGGAGCUCAACUCCAGAACUGCCUUUGAUACUGGAGAGCUCGAGUCCGGAAGAGGUGAGUGGAACUGCGAGUGUAGAGGUGAAAUUCGUAGAUAUUCGCAAGAACACCAGUGGCGAAGGCGGCUCACUGGUCCGGUACUGACGCUGAGGUGCGAAAGCGUGGGGAGCAAACAGGG